Molecule: long non-coding RNA, 267 nt
Organism: Trachymyrmex cornetzi
Lineage: Eukaryota; Metazoa; Arthropoda; Insecta; Hymenoptera; Formicidae
Exons: 3
Source: RefSeq, a predicted model, not a curated record
UAUGCAGCAAAUGAUGCAAAUCAGGCGUUUUGUGACGCGCUGGAACAAUGUGCGAACGAAGUGUCAAAAUGCAGAAAUACGCCAUUCCUGUGUUAUUAUUCUAUCAUAAGAGAUCCUUCAGUAUUGUAUUGUGUAGGGGAAAAAGUUGGCUCGAUACAAGACGGUAAAAUAAUUGCAGCCAAAGCUUAUGAACUUUGCGAAGAAAUUGUUGAUUCAAAUUCCACGGACAUUUGUAAGGCCAACGUUAACUAUUGCUUAUCUAAAGGU